This is a non-coding RNA of Caenorhabditis elegans, 80 nucleotides long. The record is from Ensembl. Lineage: Eukaryota; Metazoa; Nematoda; Chromadorea; Rhabditida; Rhabditidae.
CAUUUAAGUAGAGAUUAAUAGAACGGUUAGCGCUCAACCCAUUCUCAUUUUAUUUAUUUAUGCUUCCUAUAUGGCGCAUC